AUUGAACGCUGGCGGCAUGCCUAACACAUGCAAGUCGAACGGCAGCACGGCAGUAGCAAUACUGUGGGUGGCGAGUGGCGGACGGGUGAGGAAUACGUCGGAAUCUGCCCAGUCGUGGGGGAUAACUAGCCGAAAGGUUAGCUAAUACCGCAUACGACCGAGAGGUGAAAGCGGGGGACCGCAAGGCCUCGCGCGAUUGGAUGAGCCGACGUCGGAUUAGCUAGUUGGUGGGGUAAAGGCCCACCAAGGCGACGAUCCGUAGCUGGUCUGAGAGGAUGACCAGCCACACUGGAACUGAGACACGGUCCAGACUCCUACGGGAGGCAGCAGUGGGGAAUAUUGGACAAUGGGCGCAAGCCUGAUCCAGCAAUGCCGCGUGUGUGAAGAAGGCCUUCGGGUUGUAAAGCACUUUUAUCAGGAACGAAAAGCGUUGGAUUAAUACUCUGACGUGCUGACGGUACCUGAGGAAUAAGCACCGGCUAACUUCGUG
Molecule: ribosomal RNA, 490 nt
Filed under: uncultured bacterium
Lineage: Bacteria
Description: bacterial SSU rRNA
Rfam family: Bacterial small subunit ribosomal RNA
Source: RNAcentral